This 253-nucleotide ribosomal RNA is filed under the name uncultured bacterium. RNAcentral describes it as "partial 16S ribosomal RNA". It matches the Rfam family "Bacterial small subunit ribosomal RNA", at positions 524 to 776 of the family's 1533-position model. The record is from RNAcentral.
UACAUAGGUGGCAAGCGUUGUCCGGAGUUAUUGGGCGUAAAGCGCGCGCAGGCGGUGCGGUAAGUCUCUGGUGAAAGCGCUCGGCUUAACUGGGCGAGGGCCGGGGAGACUGCCACGCUGGAGGGGAGCAGAGGCGAGUGGAAUUCCGGGUGUAGAGGUGAAAUUCGUAGAUAUUCGCAAGAACACCAGUGGCGAAGGCGGCUCACUGGCCCGAUACUGACGCUGAGGUGCGAAAGCGUGGUGAGCAAACAGG